Non-coding RNA from Pelobates cultripes (western spadefoot toad), 74 nucleotides. The record is from the annotation of a GenBank genome assembly. NCBI's taxonomy places the organism in Eukaryota, Metazoa, Chordata, Amphibia, Anura, Pelobatidae.
UGUAUGUGUGUGUGUGUGUGUGUGUAUGUGUCUGUCAAUCUACACAUACACACACACACACACACACAAACACA